Molecule: long non-coding RNA, 3142 nt
Filed under: Bemisia tabaci
Lineage: Eukaryota; Metazoa; Arthropoda; Insecta; Hemiptera; Aleyrodidae
Description: lncRNA ENSSWEETPG006922
Source: RNAcentral
AAUCAUCAUGUUUCUUGCACCAAAGUAAAUCUGCAAAGAAUCUUUACUCCUUCUUUCCUUAACCAAAAGUUUUUUGAGUUGUCCUUCAGACACUGCACCUGUCAUGAUAUCCUAUUACAACAGCCUUUUAGUUCUUUCAGCCAUGACGUUCGUUCCAAAAGAGUUUCCUGAAGAGAGAAAAUAAUCCAAGACCUUGCCAGCAUACAAUCGAAACUCGCCAUCCUGUCAAAAAAUCAUCUCCAGUCAGAUUUGUUCGUCUUUCAUUUUUGACAGACUCGCAGGCUGUCAGAAAGCAAUCAAGGCUGUAUGCUAUAUUUAUAUACCUCCAAUGAACUUGUCUGCUUCAUAAAGUAUCAUCUAAGUUUAAUCAUCAAAAUAUUGCUUCUGUGUAUUAGUAUUCCGUAGUAACCCUACAAGUUUUGUUUAAUUAAAAGCUAUGACUUGUUUCAAAGGAAAAAUAUUAUUUUCUUCUUUUCUUUCAUUGAUUCUGUAAGUAACGACUUAAACUUGGAUCUAAAGCUUUUUUUUAGUUGUUCCAUUACUGAAGUAUCCUUUUUUCUUGUUUCUUUCUUUUAAAUUUUAUCAGUGUAAAGUGUAAAGUCUAUUUACUUGUUGAAAUUGGUAAUUUUACCCACUCAAAAUUGAUGAGUUUGUUUUUUUAAUGCUUGUUUUUUUAUUUUAUCUAUUUAUUUCUUUUUUCUUUUACUCAACAAUUUGCGAUGUUUCUGGAGAUCAGUUGGACUUAAGUUAUCACUGUUUCGACUUAAUUAUCUCAUAUUUUAUUACAUUUUAUUUGACAAAGACAAGAAGAAAUUUGACUUAUCAGAAAUUAAUGAAUGGAUACUAAAAUUUUUGAACAACUGACUAAGAAUUUUCUAACAGAUGCUGCAUGUAGAAAAAGAAUUCUUUCUCGUUUUUGUCUUUCCAAAUUUUAGCUCGGAAGAAUUUAUUUGAUGUUUUUGUUUUUAUCAGUGAUCUCAAGUUCACAAGAAUCAAGCAGAGCCAUAUUAUCCGUAGGUUUGUUCAAAUCAGCCAGGCUAUGUCCCUCUAGCUCCAUUGAAUUAAGCACCAAUUCCUACUCCAGUCUUCUCCUGCAGCAGACCAUUUGCUUUUUUCAAUACAAUCAGUUAUCAUCAUUUGUUCUUUCAAACUUUCAACUUUUUAUUUUGUGUUCUGUUUGUCUCAAUAAAUAUUUUAAGCUUUUUUUUUUUCAUUCUGUGUUAUUUGUAUCCAUCCUCCAAUUUUCUUUAAUUCGCUCUCUGUCAAAGGCUCAGUUUUCACUGGCAGUUAAAUGUCAUCACAACAAAUGGAUUGAAUUUGAGAAAGGAACCAAGAGCAUUCCAAUGUUGCAAAAAUUGUGCAACUUUUUUACCUUGCAAAUAUAUACUAAUCAUCUGGACAAGUUUCUUCCUUAAUCCCAAUAAACUAUGUAUUCAAGACAAAAUUACCUUUGUAAUUUUAAUUUUUGCACUAUUUCAGUAAUUUUUUACAAAGGAUGCAAAUUGUACAACCCUAGCAACAUUGGAAUGCUCUUAGUUCCUUUUUGCAAAAUGCAAUCCAAAUAAAUCCUACCCCUUAAACUAAUGGUUGUAAAAAAACAUUGGACAUGAUAGCAAGUUUUGAGAGCCUUUAUUCUUGCUCAUUUAUUUAUCGAUUUUAUUUAUAGCUUCCUUAGAAUGUAGGAAUAAAGUUCACGGAAACAUUUAUUUAAUUUUUUCAAGUCAAUUACUGGCAAUUUUAAGGGGGAAAUCCUACAGCUUGCUUCAACCCAUUAAGCGGCACGCUGUGCAUGCAUUUAACAGCUAGCCAGCUGACACUGGAAAUGAGUUUCAUUAAAAAUUCGAUGUCUCCUUUGAUUGUUUUUGAAAAAAUAUAAGGAGACAUUUCCUGCAAUGUUUUUCUUACUCAAUCAUAUAAAAACCUGUUUUUCUAAAACUGGAGGAUUAUUUGAUAAAAGUUUUUAUCAAAGAGGAUCUUUACGUCUUAUCGAAAACUAUAUGUCAUUUCAGUUUAGCCAUGAAUUCAAUGGCUCAAACACAGAAAAAAAUUACUGUUGCCGUUUUUUUUUUUUUUUUUUUUUUAAAAAAAUCACCAGGGUCAGUUAAAAUAUCAAAUUUUAUUAUUAUUGUAUGAAGGAACGGAGAAUCUUCUUCUUUUUUUAAAAAUAAAGUUCAAUAAAGAAAAAAAGACUAAGUAGGAAAGUCAUCUUACUUAACAUCGUUUCUCGUAAGUUAGCUGUUUUCUGAAAACAUUCAAUGUGGAAAACUUCAGUGCCAUCUCAAUGCUGCCUCAAGAAUCACUGAACUGUCGGUCUUAAAUAAAAACACGUUAAAACAUAGAUUCAUUUUUAACAUUUCAAUGCCAAAAUUAGCGAUCUUCUGGUUCUUGCUAUAGGCCGAUAUUUUUUUAUCAUUGCUGUUGUCCUUCAUUUUGGUUAAUCCAUAAAUAGAUACAUCUACUUUAAGGGAAGUAAGGACAAUUGUAGGAAAACAUUAACAGAAAAAUAUUGUUUUUUAUUUACUUCAAAUCUACCGCUAGAAAAUCACAUGCUCGGUUAAAUAAUUUUCAAUGUAAUGACAUUAUAAUAUACUUCAAUGAUACGAAUUACAAAUUUUUAAAAGGAGAUGAUAAACAUUUAUUAACAAACAAGACGGAAUUUUAAACAAAUGGACAGUAUUUUGAAAUGUAACACACAUGGGAGAAACAUAUAACAUUUAAAAACUCAGUACGGGGUGGGUUUACGUUUUCGUUCUUUUUCAUGGUUUUCAGUCGAUUGUUAAAUCUUCCGUCACACUUGGUUUCCACCCACUUAAAAUACUUGCUCACCGGCCUUGUUAAGAGAACUCCUGUAUCGGGGGUUGUGCCAACUGCAUCAACAAUCUUGUUAUACCAACAAAAAUGGCCAUUGGUUUGAUUUUGAAAUCAUGUGAUAGCUGAGGACUGUAGAUUAUCUCCAUUUCUAGAGUACACCCACCCCAAUAUACAUUAAUCUUGCGUAAAAACUGAACUGGUGCACAUCUACGAGAUAGCAGUCGUCGCUAGAAUUAGAAUUUGACAUACCCUUGCCGAUAGUGUCUCUGUCAAUGGCCAGAUCUGAGAGGCACCUUCUAAGGACCACAGUUGCAAGUCUACUGUUGAUGUA